RNAcentral lists this microRNA precursor (89 nucleotides) under Ochotona princeps (American pika). RNAcentral describes it as "miRNA (ENSOPRG00000022800.1)". The record is from RNAcentral. Lineage: Eukaryota; Metazoa; Chordata; Mammalia; Lagomorpha; Ochotonidae.
CCAUCCAGCCACCCUUGGGGUCUGCUGGGGCCGUGGGCGAGGACCCGCCUGGAGCCCGGCGGGGCUGGCGGCCCGGCGGACGGGCUGGG